AGCAUACAAAUUGAUGUUGUAGCC
RNAcentral lists this non-coding RNA (24 nucleotides) under Arabidopsis thaliana (thale cress). Lineage: Eukaryota; Viridiplantae; Streptophyta; Magnoliopsida; Brassicales; Brassicaceae. The record is from RNAcentral.